RNAcentral lists this microRNA (21 nucleotides) under Tribolium castaneum (red flour beetle). Its description in RNAcentral is "tca-miR-11629-5p". The record is from miRBase by way of RNAcentral. Lineage: Eukaryota; Metazoa; Arthropoda; Insecta; Coleoptera; Tenebrionidae.
UCAUUUUGGACUUUUAUAAAC